CAGGUGCUAGGCUUGUUGUGGAUAAGGGGUAUAAAGGCAGUGCAGGGUACCCUGAAGCCCUUCCUUAGGGCAGGAAUAGUACUAAGAAGGGGAUUCUCUGCAAGUUUUAGGCUCUGAUGCAGUUAAGUGGGCAGCACUGGGGAUGUUUCCAGAAGUUGCUGCACCCUCAGUGAAUCUGUGGGGUUUAGGAGGUGCUGUGGUGGUCCUGCAUGGCCUUUUUGCUCUCACGAGCCAGGAAAUAGCUGUGCCCUAUCCCCUCUGCUCUGGACUUCUUGGGAGCUUUACAAGGCUGGGAACAGACUGACUCGGUCCUUGCCAAACAGCCGCACCCACGGCAAUCACAUCCUGGAACGGCAACGGCUUCUGCAGGGAAGAUGUGUCUGAAAGCAACUAAUGAACUCAGGGGCACAAAUGCUAAUGAAAGUUAACGAGAUCCACGCUCCUUCAUGUGUAGGAUUUUUAAAAAAAAAUCGUGCUCUUUAAGAUGAAUGCUGGUUUCAUGCUCUCUGCGGGUCACCCCGAGGCCCACAUCCAGGUGGCUGCUCCCUGCCCUUGGGUUUUGCCCAAGAAGUGUGACAACAUCCCCAAGAUGCCCUGCCUGCUGUGUUAUUUAAGCUGUACGAUAUGACAGAGCAUGUUUUAUGGAGCCAUUAAUUUAUGCUGUGGGUGACUUUAACCACCCAAAAGUAUAUUAAUGGCCCUAUGAAAUACACCCCGGAGUGUCUUAAUAUGGUUAUGAGAUUGAUCUUCAGCUUUAUAUGCUGCUGUGUGUGAAAUUAUUGAAAUAAAUUUGUAGAGAAAGGUGAUGUGGUGGAUCCCAGCAAGGGGUGAGCUGCCUUUUUCUUAGGAUCCUGCGGUCGCAGAGUUGCUCGGUGUCCUGUAGUACAUGCCAUGGGCUGGAGCAGCAUCCCUGCCAGUGGGAUGCUGGUGAAGUCCUGUUCAAGGCGUUGCCUUUCGGGAUGGAGUGGCAGUACCAGCUUGUAGAGAAACCUGGACUCCAUGCAGAAAACUUCUCUCUGGCAGGAGUGUGCUGGGAUUGCUGUGAACAGCAAUUCCUGUUUGGGAAAUACAGCAAACCAUGACUUUCCUACUGAUAGAUGCUAGCAGCAUGAGUGUACCGACAGGAAGCCUUGAUGUCAGGAAGGCUAGACCUUGUUUAAAGUCUCUUUUUGUCUAUAUGCUCAGGGUUUUUGAAGCCUCCAGGCCUAUGAUGUCAAAGUGGGUUUGGGUUUUAGCUGGAAAUUAAAAAUGAAUUCUGCUGUAUUAAGUAAUCUGUGCCUUUUUUUUUUUAUAUAGCCUUAAUCAUUAUGAUCUUUUUCAAUGCUCUCUGGUGGGACUGUAUGGCUCUGAACUCUGAUAAACCCAGAAAGUUCUCAGUAACUGAAUGUAAUGUUUCAUCCCAAAACAAGUAAAAACCAUGGUUUUUCUCAUCAAAA
Anas platyrhynchos (mallard) is the source of this 1436-nucleotide long non-coding RNA. RefSeq lists it as uncharacterized. NCBI's taxonomy places the organism in Eukaryota, Metazoa, Chordata, Aves, Anseriformes, Anatidae. The record is from RefSeq and is a predicted model, not a curated record.